UAUAAUGCAGUCGAACGCACUCUGGAACUGAUUGAAGAAGCUUGCUUCUGAUUGAAGCUCAUUUGAGUGAGUGGCGGACGGGUGAGUAACACGUGGGUAACCUGCCCUAAAGUGGGGGAUAACAUUUGGAAACAGAUGCUAAUACCGCAUAAAACCUAGCACCGCAUGGUGCAAGGUUGAAAGAUGGUUUCGGCUAUCACUUUAGGAUGGACCCGCGGUGCAUUAGUUAGUUGGUGAGGUAAAGGCCCACCAAGACUGUGAUGCAUAGCCGACCUGAGAGGGUAAUCGGCCACACUGGGACUGAGACACGGCCCAGACUCCUACGGGAGGCAGCAGUAGGGAAUCUUCCACAAUGGACGAAAGUCUGAUGGAGCAACGCCGCGUGAGUGAAGAAGGUUUUCGGAUCGUAAAACUCUGUUGUUGGAGAAGAAUGUAUCUGAUAGUAACUGAUCAGGUAGUGACGGUAUCCAACCAGAAAGCCACGGCUAACUACGUGCCAGCAGCCGCGGUAAUACGUAGGUGGCAAGCGUUGUCCGGAUUUAUUGGGCGUAAAGCGAGCGCAGGCGGUUUUUUAAGUCUGAUGUGAAAGCCUUCGGCUCAACCGAAGAAGUGCAUCGGAAACUGGGAAACUUGAGUGCAGAAGAGGACAGUGGAACUCCAUGUGUAGCGGUGAAAUGCGUAGAUAUAUGGAAGAACACCAGUGGCGAAU
Molecule: ribosomal RNA, 709 nt
Filed under: Latilactobacillus fuchuensis
Lineage: Bacteria; Bacillati; Bacillota; Bacilli; Lactobacillales; Lactobacillaceae
Description: bacterial SSU rRNA
Rfam family: Bacterial small subunit ribosomal RNA
Source: RNAcentral